GAAUUUUCGAGACCUUUGGCACCGUUCUAAGAUGGGUCCUCUCUUCGUAGGCUAAUGCAUUGGCCCUUUUUGACCCGUUUUGGGGCGAAAACAAAAACUGACUCCCGGGCAUAUUUUUUUUCGGCCUUUAUGGGCAGAGAACUUUAAUGCCGCUCAGAAUGAGGCCACCCAGUAGUUAGGUGUGAAUUUUCGAGACCUUUGGCACCGUUCUAAGAUGGGUCCUCUCUUCGUAGGCUAAUGCAUUGGCCCUUUUUGACCCGUUUUGGGGCGAAAACAAAAACUGACUCCCGGGCAUAUUUUUUUCGGCCUUUAUGGGCAGAGAACUUUAAUGCCGCUCAGAAUGAGGCCACCCAGUAGUUAGGUGUGAAUUUUCGAGACCUCUGGCACCGUUCUAAGAUGGGUCCUCUCUUCGUAGGCUAAUGCAUUGGCCCUUUUUGACCCGUUUUGGGGCGAAAACAAAAACUGACUCCCGGGCAUAUUUUUUUCGGCCUUUAUGGGCAGAGAACUUUAAUGCCGCUCAGAAUGAGGCCACCCAGUAGUUAGGUGUGAAUUUUCGAGACCUCUGGCACCGUUCUAAGAUGGGUCCUCUCUUCGUAGGCUAAUGCAUUGGCCCUUUUUGACCCGUUUUGGGGCGAAAACAAAAACUGACUCCCGGGCAUAUUUUUUUCGGCCUUUAUGGGCAGAGAACUUUAAUGCCGCUCAGAAUGAGGCCACCCAGUAGUUAGGUGUGAAUUUUCGAGACCUCUGGCACCGUUCUAAGAUGGGUCCUCUCUUCGUAGGCUAAUGCAUUGGCCCUUUUUGACCCGUUUUGGGGCGAAAACAAAAACUGACUCCCGGGCAUAUUUUUUUCGGCCUUUAUGGGCAGAGAACUUUAAUGCCGCUCAGAAUGAGGCCACCCAGUAGUUAGGUGUGAAUUUUCGAGACCUCUGGCACCGUUCUAAGAUGGGUCCUCUCUUCGUAGGCUAAUGCAUUGGCCCUUUUUGACCCGUUUUGGGGCGAAAACAAAAACUGACUCCCGGGCAUAUUUUUUUCGGCCUUUAUGGGCAGAGAACUUUAAUGCCGCUCAGAAUGAGGCCACCCAGUAGUUAGGUGUGAAUUUUCGAGACCUCUGGCACCGUUCUAAGAUGGGUCCUCUCUUCGUAGGCUAAUGCAUUGGCCCUUUUUGACCCGUUUUGGGGCGAAAACAAAAACUGACUCCCGGGCAUAUUUUUUUCGGCCUUUAUGGGCAGAGAACUUUAAUGCCGCUCAGAAUGAGGCCACCCAGUAGUUAGGUGUGAAUUUUCGAGACCUCUGGCACCGUUCUAAGAUGGGUCCUCUCUUCGUAGGCUAAUGCAUUGGCCCUUUUUGACCCGUUUUGGGGCGAAAACAAAAACUGACUCCCGGGCAUAUUUUUUUCGGCCUUUAUGGGCAGAGAACUUUAAUGCCGCUCAGAAUGAGGCCACCCAGUAGUUAGGUGUGAAUUUUCGAGACCUCUGGCACCGUUCUAAGAUGGGUCCUCUCUUCGUAGGCUAAUGCAUUGGCCCUUUUUGACCCGUUUUGGGGCGAAAACAAAAACUGACUCCCGGGCAUAUUUUUUUCGGCCUUUAUGGGCAGAGAACUUUAAUGCCGCUCAGAAUGAGGCCACCCAGUAGUUAGGUGUGAAUUUUCGAGACCUCUGGCACCGUUCUAAGAUGGGUCCUCUCUUCGUAGGCUAAUGCAUUGGCCCUUUUUGACCCGUUUUGGGGCGAAAACAAAAACUGACUCCCGGGCAUAUUUUUUUCGGCCUUUAUGGGCAGAGAACUUUAAUGCCGCUCAGAAUGAGGCCACCCAGUAGUUAGGUGUGAAUUUUCGAGACCUCUGGCACCGUUCUAAGAUGGGUCCUCUCUUCGUAGGCUAAUGCAUUGGCCCUUUUUGACCCGUUUUGGGGCGAAAACAAAAACUGACUCCCGGGCAUAUUUUUUUCGGCCUUUUAUGGGCAGAGAACUUUAAUGCCGCUCAGAAUGAGGCCACCCAGUAGUUAGGUGUGAAUUUUCGAGACCUCUGGCACCGUUCUAAGAUGGGUCCUCUCUUCGUAGGCUAAUGCAUUGGCCCUUUUUGACCCGUUUUGGGGCGAAAACAAAAACUGACUCCCGGGCAUAUUUUUUUCGGCCUUUAUGGGCAGAGAACUUUAAUGCCGCUCAGAAUGAGGCCACCCAGUAGUUAGGUGUGAAUUUUCGAGACCUCUGGCACCGUUCUAAGAUGGGUCCUCUCUUCGUAGGCUAAUGCAUUGGCCCUUUUUGACCCGUUUUGGGGCGAAAACAAAAACUGACUCCCGGGCAUAUUUUUUUCGGCCUUUAUGGGCAGAGAACUUUAAUGCCGCUCAGAAUGAGGCCACCCAGUAGUUAGGUGUGAAUUUUCGAGACCUCUGGCACCGUUCUAAGAUGGGUCCUCUCUUCGUAGGCUAAUGCAUUGGCCCUUUUUGACCCGUUUUGGGGCGAAAACAAAAACUGACUCCCGGGCAUAUUUUUUUCGGCCUUUAUGGGCAGAGAACUUUAAUGCCGCUCAGAAUGAGGCCACCCAGUAGUUAGGUGUGAAUUUUCGAGACCUCUGGCACCGUUCUAAGAUGGGUCCUCUCUUCGUAGGCUAAUGCAUUGGCCCUUUUUGACCCGUUUUGGGGCGAAAACAAAAACUGACUCCCGGGCAUAUUUUUUUCGGCCUUUAUGGGCAGAGAACUUUAAUGCCGCUCAGAAUGAGGCCACCCAGUAGUUAGGUGUGAAUUUUCGAGACCUCUGGCACCGUUCUAAGAUGGGUCCUCUCUUCGUAGGCUAAUGCAUUGGCCCUUUUUGACCCGUUUUGGGGCGAAAAAAAAAAACUGACUCCCGGGCAUAUUUUUUUCGGCCUUUAUGGGCAGAGAACUUUAAUGCCGCUCAGAAUGAGGCCACCCAGUAGUUAGGUGUGAAUUUUCGAGACCUCUGGCACCGUUCUAAGAUGGGUCCUCUCUUCGUAGGCUAAUGCAUUGGCCCUUUUUGACCCGUUUUGGGGCGAAAACAAAAACUGACUCCCGGGCAUAUUUUUUUCGGCCUUUAUGGGCAGAGAACUUUAAUGCCGCUCAGAAUGAGGCCACCCAGUAGUUAGGUGUGAAUUUUCGAGACCUCUGGCACCGUUCUAAGAUGGGUCCUCUCUUCGUAGGCUAAUGCAUUGGCCCUUUUUGACCCGUUUUGGGGCGAAAACAAAAACUGACUCCCGGGCAUAUUUUUUUCGGCCUUUAUGGGCAGAGAACUUUAAUGCCGCUCAGAAUGAGGCCACCCAGUAGUUAGGUGUGAAUUUUCGAGACCUCUGGCACCGUUCUAAGAUGGGUCCUCUCUUCGUAGGCUAAUGCAUUGGCCCUUUUUGACCCGUUUUGGGGCGAAAACAAAAACUGACUCCCGGGCAUAUUUUUUUCGGCCUUUAUGGGCAGAGAACUUUAAUGCCGCUCAGAAUGAGGCCACCCAGUAGUUAGGUGUGAAUUUUCGAGACCUCUGGCACCGUUCUAAGAUGGGUCCUCUCUUCGUAGGCUAAUGCAUUGGCCCUUUUUGACCCGUUUUGGGGCGAAAACAAAAACUGACUCCCGGGCAUAUUUUUUUCGGCCUUUAUGGGCAGAGAACUUUAAUGCCGCUCAGAAUGAGGCCACCCAGUAGUUAGGUGUGAAUUUUCGAGACCUCUGGCACCGUUCUAAGAUGGGUCCUCUCUUCGUAGGCUAAUGCAUUGGCCCUUUUUGACCCGUUUUGGGGCGAAAACAAAAACUGACUCCCGGGCAUAUUUUUUUCGGCCUUUAUGGGCAGAGAACUUUAAUGCCGCUCAGAAUGAGGCCACCCAGUAGUUAGGUGUGAAUUUUCGAGACCUCUGGCACCGUUCUAAGAUGGGUCCUCUCUUCGUAGGCUAAUGCAUUGGCCCUUUUUGACCCGUUUUGGGGCGAAAACAAAAACUGACUCCCGGGCAUAUUUUUUUCGGCCUUUAUGGGCAGAGAACUUUAAUACCGCUCAGAAUGAGGCCACCCAGUAGUUAGGUGUGAAUUUUCGAGACCUCUGGCACCGUUCUAAGAUGGGUCCUCUCUUCGUAGGCUAAUGCAUUGGCCCUUUUUGACCCGUUUUGGGGCGAAAACAAAAACUGACUCCCGGGCAUAUUUUUUUCGGCCUUUAUGGGCAGAGAACUUUAAUGCCGCUCAGAAUGAGGCCACCCAGUAGUUAGGUGUGAAUUUUCGAGACCUCUGGCACCGUUCUAAGAUGGGUCCUCUCUUCGUAGGCUAAUGCAUUGGCCCUUUUUGACCCGUUUUGGGGCGAAAACAAAAACUGACUCCCGGGCAUAUUUUUUUCGGCCUUUAUGGGCAGAGAACUUUAAUACCGCUCAGAAUGAGGCCACCCAGUAGUUAGGUGUGAAUUUUCGAGACCUCUGGCACCGUUCUAAGAUGGGUCCUCUCUUCGUAGGCUAAUGCAUUGGCCCUUUUUGACCCGUUUUGGGGCGAAAACAAAAACUGACUCCCGGGCAUAUUUUUUUCGGCCUUUAUGGGCAGAGAACUUUAAUACCGCUCAGAAUGAGGCCACCCAGUAGUUAGGUGUGAAUUUUCGAGACCUCUGGCACCGUUCUAAGAUGGGUCCUCUCUUCGUAGGCUAAUGCAUUGGCCCUUUUUGACCCGUUUUGGGGCGAAAACAAAAACUGACUCCCGGGCAUAUUUUUUUCGGCCUUUAUGGGCAGAGAACUUUAAUACCGCUCAGAAUGAGGCCACCCAGUAGUUAGGUGUGAAUUUUCGAGACCUCUGGCACCGUUCUAAGAUGGGUCCUCUCUUCGUAGGCUAAUGCAUUGGCCCUUUUUGACCCGUUUUGGGGCGAAAACAAAAACUGACUCCCGGGCAUAUUUUUUUCGGCCUUUAUGGGCAGAGAACUUUAAUACCGCUCAGAAUGAGGCCACCCAGUAGUUAGGUGUGAAUUUUCGAGACCUCUGGCACCGUUCUAAGAUGGGUCCUCUCUUCGUAGGCUAAUGCAUUGGCCCUUUUUGACCCGUUUUGGGGCGAAAACAAAAACUGACUCCCGGGCAUAUUUUUUUCGGCCUUUAUGGGCAGAGAACUUUAAUGCCGCUCAGAAUGAGGCCACCCAGUAGUUAGGUGUGAAUUUUCGAGACCUCUGGCACCGUUCUAAGAUGGGUCCUCUCUUCGUAGGCUAAUGCAUUGGCCCUUUUUGACCCGUUUUGGGGCGAAAACAAAAACUGACUCCCGGGCAUAUUUUUUUCGGCCUUUAUGGGCAGAGAACUUUAAUACCGCUCAGAAUGAGGCCACCCAGUAGUUAGGUGUGAAUUUUCGAGACCUCUGGCACCGUUCUAAGAUGGGUCCUCUCUUCGUAGGCUAAUGCAUUGGCCCUUUUUGACCCGUUUUGGGGCGAAAACAAAAACUGACUCCCGGGCAUAUUUUUUUCGGCCUUUAUGGGCAGAGAACUUUAAUGCCGCUCAGAAUGAGGCCACCCAGUAGUUAGGUGUGAAUUUUCGAGACCUCUGGCACCGUUCUAAGAUGGGUCCUCUCUUCGUAGGCUAAUGCAUUGGCCCUUUUUGACCCGUUUUGGGGCGAAAACAAAAACUGACUCCCGGGCAUAUUUUUUUCGGCCUUUAUGGGCAGAGAACUUUAAUGCCGCUCAGAAUGAGGCCACCCAGUAGUUAGGUGUGAAUUUUCGAGACCUCUGGCACCGUUCUAAGAUGGGUCCUCUCUUCGUAGGCUAAUGCAUUGGCCCUUUUUGACCCGUUUUGGGGCGAAAACAAAAACUGACUCCCGGGCAUAUUUUUUUCGGCCUUUAUGGGCAGAGAACUUUAAUACCGCUCAGAAUGAGGCCACCCAGUAGUUAGGUGUGAAUUUUCGAGACCUCUGGCACCGUUCUAAGAUGGGUCCUCUCUUCGUAGGCUAAUGCAUUGGCCCUUUUUGACCCGUUUUGGGGCGAAAACAAAAACUGACUCCCGGGCAUAUUUUUUUCGGCCUUUAUGGGCAGAGAACUUUAAUGCCGCUCAGAAUGAGGCCACCCAGUAGUUAGGUGUGAAUUUUCGAGACCUCUGGCACCGUUCUAAGAUGGGUCCUCUCUUCGUAGGCUAAUGCAUUGGCCCUUUUUGACCCGUUUUGGGGCGAAAACAAAAACUGACUCCCGGGCAUAUUUUUUUCGGCCUUUAUGGGCAGAGAACUUUAAUGCCGCUCAGAAUGAGGCCACCCAGUAGUUAGGUGUGAAUUUUCGAGACCUCUGGCACCGUUCUAAGAUGGGUCCUCUCUUCGUAGGCUAAUGCAUUGGCCCUUUUUGACCCGUUUUGGGGCGAAAACAAAAACUGACUCCCGGGCAUAUUUUUUUCGGCCUUUAUGGGCAGAGAACUUUAAUGCCGCUCAGAAUGAGGCCACCCAGUAGUUAGGUGUGAAUUUUCGAGACCUCUGGCACCGUUCUAAGAUGGGUCCUCUCUUCGUAGGCUAAUGCAUUGGCCCUUUUUGACCCGUUUUGGGGCGAAAACAAAAACUGACUCCCGGGCAUAUUUUUUUCGGCCUUUAUGGGCAGAGAACUUUAAUGCCGCUCAGAAUGAGGCCACCCAGUAGUUAGGUGUGAAUUUUCGAGACCUCUGGCACCGUUCUAAGAUGGGUCCUCUCUUCGUAGGCUAAUGCAUUGGCCCUUUUUGACCCGUUUUGGGGCGAAAACAAAAACUGACUCCCGGGCAUAUUUUUUUCGGCCUUUAUGGGCAGAGAACUUUAAUGCCGCUCAGAAUGAGGCCACCCAGUAGUUAGGUGUGAAUUUUCGAGACCUCUGGCACCGUUCUAAGAUGGGUCCUCUCUUCGUAGGCUAAUGCAUUGGCCCUUUUUGACCCGUUUUGGGGCGAAAACAAAAACUGACUCCCGGGCAUAUUUUUUUCGGCCUUUAUGGGCAGAGAACUUUAAUGCCGCUCAGAAUGAGGCCACCCAGUAGUUAGGUGUGAAUUUUCGAGACCUCUGGCACCGUUCUAAGAUGGGUCCUCUCUUCGUAGGCUAAUGCAUUGGCCCUUUUUGACCCGUUUUGGGGCGAAAACAAAAACUGACUCCCGGGCAUAUUUUUUUCGGCCUUUAUGGGCAGAGAACUUUAAUGCCGCUCAGAAUGAGGCCACCCAGUAGUUAGGUGUGAAUUUUCGAGACCUCUGGCACCGUUCUAAGAUGGGUCCUCUCUUCGUAGGCUAAUGCAUUGGCCCUUUUUGACCCGUUUUGGGGCGAAAACAAAAACUGACUCCCGGGCAUAUUUUUUUCGGCCUUUAUGGGCAGAGAACUUUAAUGCCGCUCAGAAUGAGGCCACCCAGUAGUUAGGUGUGAAUUUUCGAGACCUCUGGCACCGUUCUAAGAUGGGUCCUCUCUUCGUAGGCUAAUGCAUUGGCCCUUUUUGACCCGUUUUGGGGCGAAAACAAAAACUGACUCCCGGGCAUAUUUUUUUCGGCCUUUAUGGGCAGAGAACUUUAAUGCCGCUCAGAAUGAGGCCACCCAGUAGUUAGGUGUGAAUUUUCGAGACCUCUGGCACCGUUCUAAGAUGGGUCCUCUCUUCGUAGGCUAAUGCAUUGGCCCUUUUUGACCCGUUUUGGGGCGAAAACAAAAACUGACUCCCGGGCAUAUUUUUUUCGGCCUUUAUGGGCAGAGAACUUUAAUGCCGCUCAGAAUGAGGCCACCCAGUAGUUAGGUGUGAAUUUUCGAGACCUCUGGCACCGUUCUAAGAUGGGUCCUCUCUUCGUAGGCUAAUGCAUUGGCCCUUUUUGACCCGUUUUGGGGCGAAAACAAAAACUGACUCCCGGGCAUAUUUUUUUCGGCCUUUAUGGGCAGAGAACUUUAAUGCCGCUCAGAAUGAGGCCACCCAGUAGUUAGGUGUGAAUUUUCGAGACCUCUGGCACCGUUCUAAGAUGGGUCCUCUCUUCGUAGGCUAAUGCAUUGGCCCUUUUUGACCCGUUUUGGGGCGAAAACAAAAACUGACUCCCGGGCAUAUUUUUUUCGGCCUUUAUGGGCAGAGAACUUUAAUACCGCUCAGAAUGAGGCCACCCAGUAGUUAGGUGUGAAUUUUCGAGACCUCUGGCACCGUUCUAAGAUGGGUCCUCUCUUCGUAGGCUAAUGCAUUGGCCCUUUUUGACCCGUUUUGGGGCGAAAACAAAAACUGACUCCCGGGCAUAUUUUUUUCGGCCUUUAUGGGCAGAGAACUUUAAUGCCGCUCAGAAUGAGGCCACCCAGUAGUUAGGUGUGAAUUUUCGAGACCUCUGGCACCGUUCUAAGAUGGGUCCUCUCUUCGUAGGCUAAUGCAUUGGCCCUUUUUGACCCGUUUUGGGGCGAAAACAAAAACUGACUCCCGGGCAUAUUUUUUUCGGCCUUUAUGGGCAGAGAACUUUAAUACCGCUCAGAAUGAGGCCACCCAGUAGUUAGGUGUGAAUUUUCGAGACCUCUGGCACCGUUCUAAGAUGGGUCCUCUCUUCGUAGGCUAAUGCAUUGGCCCUUUUUGACCCGUUUUGGGGCGAAAACAAAAACUGACUCCCGGGCAUAUUUUUUUCGGCCUUUAUGGGCAGAGAACUUUAAUGCCGCUCAGAAUGAGGCCACCCAGUAGUUAGGUGUGAAUUUUCGAGACCUCUGGCACCGUUCUAAGAUGGGUCCUCUCUUCGUAGGCUAAUGCAUUGGCCCUUUUUGACCCGUUUUGGGGCGAAAACAAAAACUGACUCCCGGGCAUAUUUUUUUCGGCCUUUAUGGGCAGAGAACUUUAAUGCCGCUCAGAAUGAGGCCACCCAGUAGUUAGGUGUGAAUUUUCGAGACCUCUGGCACCGUUCUAAGAUGGGUCCUCUCUUCGUAGGGCUAAUGCAUUGGCCCUUUUUGACCCGUUUUGGGGCGAAAACAAAAACUGACUCCCGGGCAUAUUUUUUUCGGCCUUUAUGGGCAGAGAACUUUAAUACCGCUCAGAAUGAGGCCACCCAGUAGUUAGGUGUGAAUUUUCGAGACCUCUGGCACCGUUCUAAGAUGGGUCCUCUCUUCGUAGGCUAAUGCAUUGGCCCUUUUUGACCCGUUUUGGGGCGAAAACAAAAACUGACUCCCGGGCAUAUUUUUUUCGGCCUUUAUGGGCAGAGAACUUUAAUGCCGCUCAGAAUGAGGCCACCCAGUAGUUAGGUGUGAAUUUUCGAGACCUCUGGCACCGUUCUAAGAUGGGUCCUCUCUUCGUAGGCUAAUGCAUUGGCCCUUUUUGACCCGUUUUGGGGCGAAAACCAAAAACUGACUCCCGGGCAUAUUUUUUUCGGCCUUUAUGGGCAGAGAACUUUAAUACCGCUCAGAAUGAGGCCACCACCCAGUAGUUAGGUGUGAAUUUUCGAGACCUCUGGCACCGUUCUAAGAUGGGUCCUCUCUUCGUAGGCUAAUGCAUUGGCCCUUUUUGACCCGUUUUGGGGCGAAAACAAAAACUGACUCCCGGGCAUAUUUUUUUCGGCCUUUAUGGGCAGAGAAACUUUAAUGCCGCUCAGAAUGAGGCCACCCAGUAGUUAGGUGUGAAUUUUCGAGACCUCUGGCACCGUUCUAAGAUGGGUCCUCUCUUCGUAGGCUAAUGCAUUGGCCCUUUUUGACCCGUUUUGGGGCGAAAACAAAAACUGACUCCCGGGCAUAUUUUUUUCGGCCUUUAUGGGCAGAGAACUUUAAUACCGCUCAGAAUGAGGCCACCCAGUAGUUAGGUGUGAAUUUUCGAGACCUCUGGCACCGUUCUAAGAUGGGUCCUCUCUUCGUAGGCUAAUGCAUUGGCCCUUUUUGACCCGUUUUGGGGCGAAAACAAAAACUGACUCCCGGGCAUAUUUUUUUCGGCCUUUAUGGGCAAAGAACUUUAAUGCCGCUCAGAAUGAGGCCACCCAGUAGUUAGGUGUGAAUUUUCGAGACCUCUGGCACCGUUCUAAGAUGGGUCCUCUCUUCGUAGGCUAAUGCAUUGGCCCUUUUUGACCCGUUUUGGGGCGAAAAACAAAAACUGACUCCCGGGCAUAUUUUUUUCGGCCUUUAUGGGCAAAGAACUUUAAUGCCGCUCAGAAUGAGGCCACCCAGUAGUUAGGUGUGAAUUUUCGAGACCUCUGGCACCGUUCUAAGAUGGGUCCUCUCUUCGUAGGCUAAUGCAUUGGCCCUUUUUGACCCGUUUUGGGGCGAAAACAAAAAACUGACUCCCGGGCAUAUUUUUUUCGGCCUUUAUGGGCAGAGAACUUUAAUGCCGCUCAGAAUGAGGCCACCCAGUAGUUAGGUGUGAAUUUUCGAGACCUCUGGCACCGUUCUAAGAUGGGUCCUCUCUUCGUAGGCUAAUGCAUUGGCCCUUUUUGACCCGUUUUGGGGCGAAAACAAAAACUGACUCCCGGGCAUAUUUUUUUCGGCCUUUAUGGGCAGAGAACUUUAAUACCGCUCAGAAUGAGGCCACCCAGUAGUUAGGUGUGAAUUUUCGAGACCUCUGGCACCGUUCUAAGAUGGGUCCUCUCUUCGUAGGCUAAUGCAUUGGCCCUUUUUGACCCGUUUUGGGGCGAAAACAAAAACUGACUCCCGGGCAUAUUUUUUUCGGCCUUUAUGGGCAGAGAACUUUAAUACCGCUCAGAAUGAGGCCACCCAGUAGUUAGGUGUGAAUUUUCGAGACCCUCUGGCACCGUUCUAAGAUGGGUCCUCUCUUCGUAGGCUAAUGCAUUGGCCCUUUUUGACCCGUUUUGGGGCGAAAACAAAAACUGACUCCCGGGCAUAUUUUUUUCGGCCUUUAUGGGCAGAGAACUUUAAUACCGCUCAGAAUGAGGCCACCCAGUAGUUAGGUGUGAAUUUUCGAGACCUCUUGGCACCGUUCUAAGAUGGGUCCUCUCUUCGUAGGCUAAUGCAUUGGCCCUUUUUGACCCGUUUUGGGGCGAAAACAAAAACUGACUCCCGGGCAUAUUUUUUUCGGCCUUUAUGGGCAGAGAACUUUAAUGCCGCUCAGAAUGAGGCCACCCAGUAGUUAGGUGUGAAUUUUCGAGACCUCUGGCACCGUUCUAAGAUGGGUCCUCUCUUCGUAGGCUAAUGCAUUGGCCCUUUUUGACCCGUUUUGGGGCGAAAACAAAAACUGACUCCCGGGCAUAUUUUUUUCGGCCUUUAUGGGCAGAGAACUUUAAUACCGCUCAAAAAUGAGGCCACCCAGUAGUUAGGUGUGAAUUUUCGAGACCUCUGGCACCGUUCUAAGAUGGGUCCUCUCUUCGUAGGCUAAUGCAUUGGCCCUUUUUGACCCGUUUUGGGGCGAAAACAAAAACUGACUCCCGGGCAUAUUUUUUUCGGCCUUUAUGGGCAGAGAACUUUAAUACCGCUCAGAAUGAGGCCACCCAGUAGUUAGGUGUGAAUUUUCGAGACCUUUGGCACCGUUCUAAGAUGGGUCCUCUCUUCGUAGGCUAAUGCAUUGGCCCUUUUUGACCCGUUUUGGGGCGAAAACAAAAACUGACUCCCGGGCAUAUUUUUUUCGGCCUUUAUGGGCAGAGAACUUUAAUGCCGCUCAGAAUGAGGCCACCCAGUAGUUAGGUGUGAAUUUUCGAGACCUCUGGCACCGUUCUAAGAUGGGUCCUCUCUUCGUAGGCUAAUGCAUUGGCCCUUUUUGACCCGUUUUGGGGCGAAAACAAAAACUGACUCCCGGGCAUAUUUUUUUCGGCCUUUAUGGGCAGAGAACUUUAAUGCCGCUCAGAAUGAGGCCACCCAGUAGUUAGGUGUGAAUUUUCGAGACCUCUGGCACCGUUCUAAGAUGGGUCCUCUCUUCGUAGGCUAAUGCAUUGGCCCUUUUUGACCCGUUUUGGGGCGAAAACAAAAACUGACUCCCGGGCAUAUUUUUUUCGGCCUUUAUGGGCAGAGAACUUUAAUACCGCUCAGAAUGAGGCCACCCAGUAGUUAGGUGUGAAUUUUCGAGACCUCUGGCACCGUUCUAAGAUGGGUCCUCUCUUCGUAGGCUAAUGCAUUGGCCCUUUUUGACCCGUUUUGGGGCGAAAACAAAAACUGACUCCCGGGCAUAUUUUUUUCGGCCUUUAUGGGCAGAGAACUUUAAUACCGCUCAGAAUGAGGCCACCCAGUAGUUAGGUGUGAAUUUUCGAGACCUCUGGCACCGUUCUAAGAUGGGUCCUCUCUUCGUAGGCUAAUGCAUUGGCCCUUUUUGACCCGUUUUGGGGCGAAAACAAAAACUGACUCCCGGGCAUAUUUUUUUCGGCCUUUAUGGGCAGAGAACUUUAAUACCGCUCAGAAUGAGGCCACCCAGUAGUUAGGUGUGAAUUUUCGAGACCUUCUGGCACCGUUCUAAGAUGGGUCCUCUCUUCGUAGGCUAAUGCAUUGGCCCUUUUUGACCCGUUUUGGGGCGAAAACAAAAACUGACUCCCGGGCAUAUUUUUUUCGGCCUUUAUGGGCAGAGAACUUUAAUGCCGCUCAGAAUGAGGCCACCCAGUAGUUAGGUGUGAAUUUUCGAGACCUCUGGCACCGUUCUAAGAUGGGUCCUCUCUUCGUAGGCUAAUGCAUUGGCCCUUUUUGACCCGUUUUGGGGCGAAAACAAAAACUGACUCCCGGGCAUAUUUUUUUCGGCCUUUAUGGGCAGAGAACUUUAAUACCGCUCAGAAUGAGGCCACCCAGUAGUUAGGUGUGAAUUUUCGAGACCUCUGGCACCGUUCUAAGAUGGGUCCUCUCUUCGUAGGCUAAUGCAUUGGCCCUUUUUGACCCGUUUUGGGGCGAAAACAAAAACUGACUCCCGGGCAUAUUUUUUUCGGCCUUUAUGGGCAGAGAACUUUAAUACCGCUCAGAAUGAGGCCACCCAGUAGUUAGGUGUGAAUUUUCGAGACCUCUGGCACCGUUCUAAGAUGGGUCCUCUCUUCGUAGGCUAAUGCAUUGGCCCUUUUUGACCCGUUUUGGGGCGAAAACAAAAACUGACUCCCGGGCAUAUUUUUUUCGGCCUUUAUGGGCAGAGAACUUUAAUGCCGCUCAGAAUGAGGCCACCCAGUAGUUAGGUGUGAAUUUUCGAGACCUCUGGCACCGUUCUAAGAUGGGUCCUCUCUUCGUAGGCUAAUGCAUUGGCCCUUUUUGACCCGUUUUGGGGCGAAAACAAAAACUGACUCCCGGGCAUAUUUUUUUCGGCCUUUAUGGGCAGAGAACUUUAAUACCGCUCAGAAAUGAGGCCACCCAGUAGUUAGGUGUGAAUUUUCGAGACCUCUGGCACCGUUCUAAGAUGGGUCCUCUCUUCGUAGGCUAAUGCAUUGGCCCUUUUUGACCCGUUUUGGGGCGAAAACAAAAACUGACUCCCGGGCAUAUUUUUUUCGGCCUUUAUGGGCAGAGAACUUUAAUACCGCUCAGAAUGAGGCCACCCAGUAGUUAGGUGUGAAUUUUCGAGACCUCUCGGCACCGUUCUAAGAUGGGUCCUCUCUUCGUAGGCUAAUGCAUUGGCCCUUUUUGACCCGUUUUGGGGCGAAAACAAAAACUGACUCCCGGGCAUAUUUUUUUCGGCCUUUAUGGGCAGAGAACUUUAAUGCCGCUCAGAAAUGAGGCCACCCAGUAGUUAGGUGUGAAUUUUCGAGACCUCUGGCACCGUUCUAAGAUGGGUCCUCUCUUCGUAGGCUAAUGCAUUGGCCCUUUUUGACCCGUUUUGGGGCGAAAACAAAAACUGACUCCCGGGCAUAUUUUUUUCGGCCUUUAUGGGCAGAGAACUUUAAUACCGCUCAGAAUGAGGCCACCCAGUAGUUAGGUGUGAAUUUUCGAGACCUCUGGCACCGUUCUAAGAUGGGUCCUCUCUUCGUAGGCUAAUGCAUUGGCCCUUUUUGACCCGUUUUGGGGCGAAAACAAAAACUGACUCCCGGGCAUAUUUUUUUCGGCCUUUAUGGGCAGAGAACUUUAAUACCGCUCAGAAUGAGGCCACCCAGUAGUUAGGUGUGAAUUUUCGAGACCUCUUGGCACCGUUCUAAGAUGGGUCCUCUCUUCGUAGGCUAAUGCAUUGGCCCUUUUUGACCCGUUUUGGGGCGAAAACAAAAACUGACUCCCGGGCAUAUUUUUUUCGGCCUUUAUGGGCAGAGAACUUUAAUGCCGCUCAGAAUGAGGCCACCCAGUAGUUAGGUGUGAAUUUUCGAGACCUCUGGCACCGUUCUAAGAUGGGUCCUCUCUUCGUAGGCUAAUGCAUUGGCCCUUUUUGACCCGUUUUGGGGCGAAAACAAAAACUGACUCCCGGGCAUAUUUUUUUCGGCCUUUAUGGGCAGAGAACUUUAAUGCCGCUCAGAAUGAGGCCACCCAGUAGUUAGGUGUGAAUUUUCGAGACCUUUGGCACCGUUCUAAGAUGGGUCCUCUCUUCGUAGGCUAAUGCAUUGGCCCUUUUUGACCCGUUUUGGGGCGAAAACAAAAACUGACUCCCGGGCAUAUUUUUUUCGGCCUUUAUGGGCAGAGAACUUUAAUACCGCUCAGAAUGAGGCCACCCAGUAGUUAGGUGUGAAUUUUCGAGACCUCUGGCACCGUUCUAAGAUGGGUCCUCUCUUCGUAGGCUAAUGCAUUGGCCCUUUUUGACCCGUUUUGGGGCGAAAACAAAAACUGACUCCCGGGCAUAUUUUUUUCGGCCUUUAUGGGCAGAGAACUUUAAUGCCGCUCAGAAUGAGGCCACCCAGUAGUUAGGUGUGAAUUUUCGAGACCUCUGGCACCGUUCUAAGAUGGGUCCUCUCUUCGUAGGCUAAUGCAUUGGCCCUUUUUGACCCGUUUUGGGGCGAAAACAAAAACUGACUCCCGGGCAUAUUUUUUUCGGCCUUUAUGGGCAGAGAACUUUAAUACCGCUCAGAAUGAGGCCACCCAGUAGUUAGGUGUGAAUUUUCGAGACCUCUGGCACCGUUCUAAGAUGGGUCCUCUCUUCGUAGGCUAAUGCAUUGGCCCUUUUUGACCCGUUUUGGGGCGAAAACAAAAACUGACUCCCGGGCAUAUUUUUUUCGGCCUUUAUGGGCAGAGAACUCUUAAUAGCCGCUCAGAAAUGGCCAGGCCACCCAGUAGUUAGGUGUGAAUUUUCGAGACCUCUGGCACCGUUCUAAGAUGGGUCCUCUCUUCGUAGGCUAAUGCAUUGGCCCUUUUUGACCCGUUUUGGGGCGAAAACAAAAACUGACUCCCGGGCAUAUUUUUUUCGGCCUUUAUGGGCAGAGAACUUUAAUGCCGCUCAGAAUGAGGCCACCCAGUAGUUAGGUGUGAAUUUUCGAGACCUCUGGCACCGUUCUAAGAUGGGUCCUCUCUUCGUAGGCUAAUGCAUUGGCCCUUUUUGACCCGUUUUGGGGCGAAAACAAAAACUGACUCCCGGGCAUAUUUUUUUCGGCCUUUAUGGGCAGAGAACUUUAAUGCCGCUCAGAAUGAGGCCACCCAGUAGUUAGGUGUGAAUUUUCGAGACCUUUGGCACCGUUCUAAGAUGGGUCCUCUCUUCGUAGGCUAAUGCAUUGGCCCUUUUUGACCCGUUUUGGGGCGAAAACAAAAACUGACUCCCGGGCAUAUUUUUUUCGGCCUUUAUGGGCAGAGAACUUUAAUGCCGCUCAGAAUGAGGCCACCCAGUAGUUAGGUGUGAAUUUUCGAGACCUCUGGCACCGUUCUAAGAUGGGUCCUCUCUUCGUAGGCUAAUGCAUUGGCCCUUUUUGACCCGUUUUGGGGCGAAAACAAAAACUGACUCCCGGGCAUAUUUUUUUCGGCCUUUAUGGGCAGAGAACUUUAAUACCGCUCAGAAUGAGGCCACCCAGUAGUUAGGUGUGAAUUUUCGAGACCUUUGGCACCGUUCUAAGAUGGGUCCUCUCUUCGUAGGCUAAUGCAUUGGCCCUUUUUGACCCGUUUUGGGGCGAAAACAAAAACUGACUCCCGGGCAUAUUUUUUUCGGCCUUUAUGGGCAGAGAACUUUAAUACCGCUCAGAAUGAGGCCACCCAGUAGUUAGGUGUGAAUUUUCGAGACCUCUGGCACCGUUCUAAGAUGGGUCCUCUCUUCGUAGGCUAAUGCAUUGGCCCUUUUUGACCCGUUUUGGGGCGAAAACAAAAACUGACUCCCGGGCAUAUUUUUUUCGGCCUUUAUGGGCAGAGAACUUUAAUGCCGCUCAGAAUGAGGCCACCCAGUAGUUAGGUGUGAAUUUUCGAGACCUUUGGCCACCGUUCUAAGAUGGGUCCUCUCUUCGUAGGCUAAUGCAUUGGCCCUUUUUGACCCGUUUUGGGGCGAAAACAAAAACUGACUCCCGGGCAUAUUUUUUUCGGCCUUUAUGGGCAGAGAACUUUAAUACCGCUCAGAAUGAGGCCACCCAGUAGUUAGGUGUGAAUUUUCGAGACCUUUGGCACCGUUCUAAGAUGGGUCCUCUCUUCGUAGGCUAAUGCAUUGGCCCUUUUUGACCCGUUUUGGGGCGAAAACAAAAACUGACUCCCGGGCAUAUUUUUUUCGGCCUUUAUGGGCAGAGAACUUUAAUACCGCUCAGAAUGAGGCCACCCAGUAGUUAGGUGUGAAUUUUCGAGACCUUCUGGCACCGUUCUAAGAUGGGUCCUCUCUUCGUAGGCUAAUGCAUUGGCCCUUUUUGACCCGUUUUGGGGCGAAAACAAAAACUGACUCCCGGGCAUAUUUUUUUCGGCCUUUAUGGGCAGAGAACUUUAAUGCCGCUCAGAAUGAGGCCACCCAGUAGUUAGGUGUGAAUUUUCGAGACCUCUGGCACCGUUCUAAGAUGGGUCCUCUCUUCGUAGGCUAAUGCAUUGGCCCUUUUUGACCCGUUUUGGGGCGAAAACAAAAACUGACUCCCGGGCAUAUUUUUUUCGGCCUUUAUGGGCAGAGAACUUUAAUACCGCUCAGAAUGAGGCCACCCAGUAGUUAGGUGUGAAUUUUCGAGACCUUUGGCACCGUUCUAAGAUGGGUCCUCUCUUCGUAGGCUAAUGCAUUGGCCCUUUUUGACCCGUUUUGGGGCGAAAACAAAAACUGACUCCCGGGCAUAUUUUUUUCGGCCUUUAUGGGCAGAGAACUUUAAUGCCGCUCAGAAUGAGGCCACCCAGUAGUUAGGUGUGAAUUUUCGAGACCUUUGGCACCGUUCUAAGAUGGGUCCUCUCUUCGUAGGCUAAUGCAUUGGCCCUUUUUGACCCGUUUUGGGGCGAAAACAAAAACUGACUCCCGGGCAUAUUUUUUUCGGCCUUUAUGGGCAGAGAACUUUAAUACCGCUCAAAAUGAGGCCACCCAGUAGUUAGGUGUGAAUUUUCGAGACCUCUGGCACCGUUCUAAGAUGGGUCCUCUCUUCGUAGGCUAAUGCAUUGGCCCUUUUUGACCCGUUUUGGGGCGAAAACAAAAACUGACUCCCGGGCAUAUUUUUUUCGGCCUUUAUGGGCAGAGAACUUUAAUACCGCUCAAAAUGAGGCCACCCAGUAGUUAGGUGUGAAUUUUCGAGACCUUUGGCACCGUUCUAAGAUGGGUCCUCUCUUCGUAGGCUAAUGCAUUGGCCCUUUUUGACCCGUUUUGGGGCGAAAACAAAAACUGACUCCCGGGCAUAUUUUUUUCGGCCUUUAUGGGCAGAGAACUUUAAUGCCGCUCAGAAUGAGGCCACCCAGUAGUUAGGUGUGAAUUUUCGAGACCUUUGGCACCGUUCUAAGAUGGGUCCUCUCUUCGUAGGCUAAUGCAUUGGCCCUUUUUGACCCGUUUUGGGGCGAAAACAAAAACUGACUCCCGGGCAUAUUUUUUUCGGCCUUUAUGGGCAGAGAACUUUAAUACCGCUCAAAAUGAGGCCACCCAGUAGUUAGGUGUGAAUUUUCGAGACCUUUGGCACCGUUCUAAGAUGGGUCCUCUCUUCGUAGGCUAAUGCAUUGGCCCUUUUUGACCCGUUUUGGGGCGAAAACAAAAACUGACUCCCGGGCAUAUUUUUUUCGGCCUUUAUGGGCAGAGAACUUUAAUACCGCUCAAAAUGAGGCCACCCAGUAGUUAGGUGUGAAUUUUCGAGACCUUUGGCACCGUUCUAAGAUGGGUCCUCUCUUCGUAGGCUAAUGCAUUGGCCCUUUUUGACCCGUUUUGGGGCGAAAACAAAAACUGACUCCCGGGCAUAUUUUUUUCGGCCUUUAUGGGCAGAGAACUUUAAUACCGCUCAAAAUGAGGCCACCCAGUAGUUAGGUGUGAAUUUUCGAGACCUCUGGCACCGUUCUAAGAUGGGUCCUCUCUUCGUAGGCUAAUGCAUUGGCCCUUUUUGACCCGUUUUGGGGCGAAAACAAAAACUGACUCCCGGGCAUAUUUUUUUCGGCCUUUAUGGGCAGAGAACUUUAAUGCCGCUCAAAAUGAGGCCACCCAGUAGUUAGGUGUGAAUUUUCGAGACCUCUGGCACCGUUCUAAGAUGGGUCCUCUCUUCGUAGGCUAAUGCAUUGGCCCUUUUUGACCCGUUUUGGGGCGAAAACAAAAACUGACUCCCGGGCAUAUUUUUUUCGGCCUUUAUGGGCAGAGAACUUUAAUACCGCUCAGAAUGAGGCCACCCAGUAGUUAGGUGUGAAUUUUCGAGACCUUUGGCACCGUUCUAAGAUGGGUCCUCUCUUCGUAGGCUAAUGCAUUGGCCCUUUUUGACCCGUUUUGGGGCGAAAACAAAAACUGACUCCCGGGCAUAUUUUUUUCGGCCUUUAUGGGCAGAGAACUUUAAUACCGCUCAAAAUGAGGCCACCCAGUAGUUAGGUGUGAAUUUUCGAGACCUUUGGCACCGUUCUAAGAUGGGUCCUCUCUUCGUAGGCUAAUGCAUUGGCCCUUUUUGACCCGUUUUGGGGCGAAAACAAAAACUGACUCCCGGGCAUAUUUUUUUCGGCCUUUAUGGGCAGAGAACUUUAAUACCGCUCAAAAUGAGGCCACCCAGUAGUUAGGUGUGAAUUUUCGAGACCUUUGGCACCGUUCUAAGAUGGGUCCUCUCUUCGUAGGCUAAUGCAUUGGCCCUUUUUGACCCGUUUUGGGGCGAAAACAAAAACUGACUCCCGGGCAUAUUUUUUUCGGCCUUUAUGGGCAGAGAACUUUAAUACCGCUCAAAAUGAGGCCACCCAGUAGUUAGGUGUGAAUUUUCGAGACCUUUGGCACCGUUCUAAGAUGGGUCCUCUCUUCGUAGGCUAAUGCAUUGGCCCUUUUUGACCCGUUUUGGGGCGAAAACAAAAACUGACUCCCGGGCAUAUUUUUUUCGGCCUUUAUGGGCAGAGAACUUUAAUACCGCUCAAAAUGAGGCCACCCAGUAGUUAGGUGUGAAUUUUCGAGACCUUUGGCACCGUUCUAAGAUGGGUCCUCUCUUCGUAGGCUAAUGCAUUGGCCCUUUUUGACCCGUUUUGGGGCGAAAACAAAAACUGACUCCCGGGCAUAUUUUUUUCGGCCUUUAUGGGCAGAGAACUUUAAUACCGCUCAAAAUGAGGCCACCCAGUAGUUAGGUGUGAAUUUUCGAGACCUUUGGCACCGUUCUAAGAUGGGUCCUCUCUUCGUAGGCUAAUGCAUUGGCCCUUUUUGACCCGUUUUGGGGCGAAAACAAAAACUGACUCCCGGGCAUAUUUUUUUCGGCCUUUAUGGGCAGAGAACUUUAAUACCGCUCAAAAUGAGGCCACCCAGUAGUUAGGUGUGAAUUUUCGAGACCUUUGGCACCGUUCUAAGAUGGGUCCUCUCUUCGUAGGCUAAUGCAUUGGCCCUUUUUGACCCGUUUUGGGGCGAAAACAAAAACUGACUCCCGGGCAUAUUUUUUUCGGCCUUUAUGGGCAGAGAACUUUAAUACCGCUCAAAAUGAGGCCACCCAGUAGUUAGGUGUGAAUUUUCGAGACCUUUGGCACCGUUCUAAGAUGGGUCCUCUCUUCGUAGGCUAAUGCAUUGGCCCUUUUUGACCCGUUUUGGGGCGAAAACAAAAACUGACUCCCGGGCAUAUUUUUUUCGGCCUUUAUGGGCAGAGAACUUUAAUACCGCUCAAAAUGAGGCCACCCAGUAGUUAGGUGUGAAUUUUCGAGACCUUUGGCACCGUUCUAAGAUGGGUCCUCUCUUCGUAGGCUAAUGCAUUGGCCCUUUUUGACCCGUUUUGGGGCGAAAACAAAAACUGACUCCCGGGCAUAUUUUUUUCGGCCUUUAUGGGCAGAGAACUUUAAUACCGCUCAAAAUGAGGCCACCCAGUAGUUAGGUGUGAAUUUUCGAGACCUUUGGCACCGUUCUAAGAUGGGUCCUCUCUUCGUAGGCUAAUGCAUUGGCCCUUUUUGACCCGUUUUGGGGCGAAAACAAAAACUGACUCCCGGGCAUAUUUUUUUCGGCCUUUAUGGGCAGAGAACUUUAAUACCGCUCAAAAUGAGGCCACCCAGUAGUUAGGUGUGAAUUUUCGAGACCUUUGGCACCGUUCUAAGAUGGGUCCUCUCUUCGUAGGCUAAUGCAUUGGCCCUUUUUGACCCGUUUUGGGGCGAAAACAAAAACUGACUCCCGGGCAUAUUUUUUUCGGCCUUUAUGGGCAGAGAACUUUAAUACCGCUCAAAAUGAGGCCACCCAGUAGUUAGGUGUGAAUUUUCGAGACCUUUGGCACCGUUCUAAGAUGGGUCCUCUCUUCGUAGGCUAAUGCAUUGGCCCUUUUUGACCCGUUUUGGGGCGAAAACAAAAACUGACUCCCGGGCAUAUUUUUUUCGGCCUUUAUGGGCAGAGAACUUUAAUACCGCUCAAAAUGAGGCCACCCAGUAGUUAGGUGUGAAUUUUCGAGACCUUUGGCACCGUUCUAAGAUGGGUCCUCUCUUCGUAGGCUAAUGCAUUGGCCCUUUUUGACCCGUUUUGGGGCGAAAACAAAAACUGACUCCCGGGCAUAUUUUUUUCGGCCUUUAUGGGCAGAGAACUUUAAUACCGCUCAAAAUGAGGCCACCCAGUAGUUAGGUGUGAAUUUUCGAGACCUUUGGCACCGUUCUAAGAUGGGUCCUCUCUUCGUAGGCUAAUGCAUUGGCCCUUUUUGACCCGUUUUGGGGCGAAAACAAAAACUGACUCCCGGGCAUAUUUUUUUCGGCCUUUAUGGGCAGAGAACUUUAAUACCGCUCAAAAUGAGGCCACCCAGUAGUUAGGUGUGAAUUUUCGAGACCUUUGGCACCGUUCUAAGAUGGGUCCUCUCUUCGUAGGCUAAUGCAUUGGCCCUUUUUGACCCGUUUUGGGGCGAAAACAAAAACUGACUCCCGGGCAUAUUUUUUUCGGCCUUUAUGGGCAGAGAACUUUAAUACCGCUCAAAAUGAGGCCACCCAGUAGUUAGGUGUGAAUUUUCGAGACCUUUGGCACCGUUCUAAGAUGGGUCCUCUCUUCGUAGGCUAAUGCAUUGGCCCUUUUUGACCCGUUUUGGGGCGAAAACAAAAACUGACUCCCGGGCAUAUUUUUUUCGGCCUUUAUGGGCAGAGAACUUUAAUACCGCUCAAAAUGAGGCCACCCAGUAGUUAGGUGUGAAUUUUCGAGACCUUUGGCACCGUUCUAAGAUGGGUCCUCUCUUCGUAGGCUAAUGCAUUGGCCCUUUUUGACCCGUUUUGGGGCGAAAACAAAAACUGACUCCCGGGCAUAUUUUUUUCGGCCUUUAUGGGCAGAGAACUUUAAUACCGCUCAAAAUGAGGCCACCCAGUAGUUAGGUGUGAAUUUUCGAGACCUUUGGCACCGUUCUAAGAUGGGUCCUCUCUUCGUAGGCUAAUGCAUUGGCCCUUUUUGACCCGUUUUGGGGCGAAAACAAAAACUGACUCCCGGGCAUAUUUUUUUCGGCCUUUAUGGGCAGAGAACUUUAAUACCGCUCAAAAUGAGGCCACCCAGUAGUUAGGUGUGAAUUUUCGAGACCUUUGGCACCGUUCUAAGAUGGGUCCUCUCUUCGUAGGCUAAUGCAUUGGCCCUUUUUGACCCGUUUUGGGGCGAAAACAAAAACUGACUCCCGGGCAUAUUUUUUUCGGCCUUUAUGGGCAGAGAACUUUAAUACCGCUCAAAAUGAGGCCACCCAGUAGUUAGGUGUGAAUUUUCGAGACCUUUGGCACCGUUCUAAGAUGGGUCCUCUCUUCGUAGGCUAAUGCAUUGGCCCUUUUUGACCCGUUUUGGGGCGAAAACAAAAACUGACUCCCGGGCAUAUUUUUUUCGGCCUUUAUGGGCAGAGAACUUUAAUACCGCUCAAAAUGAGGCCACCCAGUAGUUAGGUGUGAAUUUUCGAGACCUUUGGCACCGUUCUAAGAUGGGUCCUCUCUUCGUAGGCUAAUGCAUUGGCCCUUUUUGACCCGUUUUGGGGCGAAAACAAAAACUGACUCCCGGGCAUAUUUUUUUCGGCCUUUAUGGGCAGAGAACUUUAAUACCGCUCAAAAUGAGGCCACCCAGUAGUUAGGUGUGAAUUUUCGAGACCUUUGGCACCGUUCUAAGAUGGGUCCUCUCUUCGUAGGCUAAUGCAUUGGCCCUUUUUGACCCGUUUUGGGGCGAAAACAAAAACUGACUCCCGGGCAUAUUUUUUUCGGCCUUUAUGGGCAGAGAACUUUAAUACCGCUCAAAAUGAGGCCACCCAGUAGUUAGGUGUGAAUUUUCGAGACCUUUGGCACCGUUCUAAGAUGGGUCCUCUCUUCGUAGGCUAAUGCAUUGGCCCUUUUUGACCCGUUUUGGGGCGAAAACAAAAACUGACUCCCGGGCAUAUUUUUUUCGGCCUUUAUGGGCAGAGAACUUUAAUACCGCUCAAAAUGAGGCCACCCAGUAGUUAGGUGUGAAUUUUCGAGACCUUUGGCACCGUUCUAAGAUGGGUCCUCUCUUCGUAGGCUAAUGCAUUGGCCCUUUUUGACCCGUUUUGGGGCGAAAACAAAAACUGACUCCCGGGCAUAUUUUUUUCGGCCUUUAUGGGCAGAGAACUUUAAUACCGCUCAAAAUGAGGCCACCCAGUAGUUAGGUGUGAAUUUUCGAGACCUUUGGCACCGUUCUAAGAUGGGUCCUCUCUUCGUAGGCUAAUGCAUUGGCCCUUUUUGACCCGUUUUGGGGCGAAAACAAAAACUGACUCCCGGGCAUAUUUUUUUCGGCCUUUAUGGGCAGAGAACUUUAAUACCGCUCAAAAUGAGGCCACCCAGUAGUUAGGUGUGAAUUUUCGAGACCUUUGGCACCGUUCUAAGAUGGGUCCUCUCUUCGUAGGCUAAUGCAUUGGCCCUUUUUGACCCGUUUUGGGGCGAAAACAAAAACUGACUCCCGGGCAUAUUUUUUUCGGCCUUUAUGGGCAGAGAACUUUAAUACCGCUCAAAAUGAGGCCACCCAGUAGUUAGGUGUGAAUUUUCGAGACCUUUGGCACCGUUCUAAGAUGGGUCCUCUCUUCGUAGGCUAAUGCAUUGGCCCUUUUUGACCCGUUUUGGGGCGAAAACAAAAACUGACUCCCGGGCAUAUUUUUUUCGGCCUUUAUGGGCAGAGAACUUUAAUACCGCUCAAAAUGAGGCCACCCAGUAGUUAGGUGUGAAUUUUCGAGACCUUUGGCACCGUUCUAAGAUGGGUCCUCUCUUCGUAGGCUAAUGCAUUGGCCCUUUUUGACCCGUUUUGGGGCGAAAACAAAAACUGACUCCCGGGCAUAUUUUUUUCGGCCUUUAUGGGCAGAGAACUUUAAUACCGCUCAAAAUGAGGCCACCCAGUAGUUAGGUGUGAAUUUUCGAGACCUUUGGCACCGUUCUAAGAUGGGUCCUCUCUUCGUAGGCUAAUGCAUUGGCCCUUUUUGACCCGUUUUGGGGCGAAAACAAAAACUGACUCCCGGGCAUAUUUUUUUCGGCCUUUAUGGGCAGAGAACUUUAAUACCGCUCAAAAUGAGGCCACCCAGUAGUUAGGUGUGAAUUUUCGAGACCUUUGGCACCGUUCUAAGAUGGGUCCUCUCUUCGUAGGCUAAUGCAUUGGCCCUUUUUGACCCGUUUUGGGGCGAAAACAAAAACUGACUCCCGGGCAUAUUUUUUUCGGCCUUUAUGGGCAGAGAACUUUAAUACCGCUCAAAAUGAGGCCACCCAGUAGUUAGGUGUGAAUUUUCGAGACCUUUGGCACCGUUCUAAGAUGGGUCCUCUCUUCGUAGGCUAAUGCAUUGGCCCUUUUUGACCCGUUUUGGGGCGAAAACAAAAACUGACUCCCGGGCAUAUUUUUUUCGGCCUUUAUGGGCAGAGAACUUUAAUACCGCUCAAAAUGAGGCCACCCAGUAGUUAGGUGUGAAUUUUCGAGACCUUUGGCACCGUUCUAAGAUGGGUCCUCUCUUCGUAGGCUAAUGCAUUGGCCCUUUUUGACCCGUUUUGGGGCGAAAACAAAAACUGACUCCCGGGCAUAUUUUUUUCGGCCUUUAUGGGCAGAGAACUUUAAUACCGCUCAAAAUGAGGCCACCCAGUAGUUAGGUGUGAAUUUUCGAGACCUUUGGCACCGUUCUAAGAUGGGUCCUCUCUUCGUAGGCUAAUGCAUUGGCCCUUUUUGACCCGUUUUGGGGCGAAAACAAAAACUGACUCCCGGGCAUAUUUUUUUCGGCCUUUAUGGGCAGAGAACUUUAAUACCGCUCAAAAUGAGGCCACCCAGUAGUUAGGUGUGAAUUUUCGAGACCUUUGGCACCGUUCUAAGAUGGGUCCUCUCUUCGUAGGCUAAUGCAUUGGCCCUUUUUGACCCGUUUUGGGGCGAAAACAAAAACUGACUCCCGGGCAUAUUUUUUUCGGCCUUUAUGGGCAGAGAACUUUAAUACCGCUCAAAAUGAGGCCACCCAGUAGUUAGGUGUGAAUUUUCGAGACCUCUUGGCACCGUUCUAAGAUGGGUCCUCUCUUCGUAGGCUAAUGCAUUGGCCCUUUUUGACCCGUUUUGGGGCGAAAACAAAAACUGACUCCCGGGCAUAUUUUUUUCGGCCUUUAUGGGCAGAGAACUUUAAUACCGCUCAAAAUGAGGCCACCCAGUAGUUAGGUGUGAAUUUUCGAGACCUCUGGCACCGUUCUAAGAUGGGUCCUCUCUUCGUAGGCUAAUGCAUUGGCCCUUUUUGACCCGUUUUGGGGCGAAAACAAAAACUGACUCCCGGGCAUAUUUUUUUCGGCCUUUAUGGGCAGAGAACUUUAAUGCCGCUCAAAAUGAGGCCACCCAGUAGUUAGGUGUGAAUUUUCGAGACCUCUGGCACCGUUCUAAGAUGGGUCCUCUCUUCGUAGGCUAAUGCAUUGGCCCUUUUUGACCCGUUUUGGGGCGAAAACAAAAACUGACUCCCGGGCAUAUUUUUUUCGGCCUUUAUGGGCAGAGAACUUUAAUACCGCUCAGAAUGAGGCCACCCAGUAGUUAGGUGUGAAUUUUCGAGACCUUCUGGCACCGUUCUAAGAUGGGUCCUCUCUUCGUAGGCUAAUGCAUUGGCCCUUUUUGACCCGUUUUGGGGCGAAAACAAAAACUGACUCCCGGGCAUAUUUUUUUCGGCCUUUAUGGGCAGAGAACUUUAAUACCGCUCAGAAUGAGGCCACCCAGUAGUUAGGUGUGAAUUUUCGAGACCUCUGGCACCGUUCUAAGAUGGGUCCUCUCUUCGUAGGCUAAUGCAUUGGCCCUUUUUGACCCGUUUUGGGGCGAAAACAAAAACUGACUCCCGGGCAUAUUUUUUUCGGCCUUUAUGGGCAGAGAACUUUAAUACCGCUCAGAAUGAGGCCACCCAGUAGUUAGGUGUGAAUUUUCGAGACCUUUGGCACCGUUCUAAGAUGGGUCCUCUCUUCGUAGGCUAAUGCAUUGGCCCUUUUUGACCCGUUUUGGGGCGAAAACAAAAACUGACUCCCGGGCAUAUUUUUUUCGGCCUUUAUGGGCAGAGAACUUUAAUGCCGCUCAGAAUGAGGCCACCCAGUAGUUAGGUGUGAAUUUUCGAGACCUUUGGCACCGUUCUAAGAUGGGUCCUCUCUUCGUAGGCUAAUGCAUUGGCCCUUUUUGACCCGUUUUGGGGCGAAAACAAAAACUGACUCCCGGGCAUAUUUUUUUCGGCCUUUAUGGGCAGAGAACUUUAAUGCCGCUCAGAAUGAGGCCACCCAGUAGUUAGGUGUGAAUUUUCGAGACCUCUGGCACCGUUCUAAGAUGGGUCCUCUCUUCGUAGGCUAAUGCAUUGGCCCUUUUUGACCCGUUUUGGGGCGAAAACAAAAACUGACUCCCGGGCAUAUUUUUUUCGGCCUUUAUGGGCAGAGAACUUUAAUACCGCUCAAAAUGAGGCCACCCAGUAGUUAGGUGUGAAUUUUCGAGACCUUUGGCACCGUUCUAAGAUGGGUCCUCUCUUCGUAGGCUAAUGCAUUGGCCCUUUUUGACCCGUUUUGGGGCGAAAACAAAAACUGACUCCCGGGCAUAUUUUUUUCGGCCUUUAUGGGCAGAGAACUUUAAUACCGCUCAAAAUGAGGCCACCCAGUAGUUAGGUGUGAAUUUUCGAGACCUCUGGCACCGUUCUAAGAUGGGUCCUCUCUUCGUAGGCUAAUGCAUUGGCCCUUUUUGACCCGUUUUGGGGCGAAAACAAAAACUGACUCCCGGGCAUAUUUUUUUCGGCCUUUAUGGGCAGAGAACUUUAAUACCGCUCAAAAUGAGGCCACCCAGUAGUUAGGUGUGAAUUUUCGAGACCUUUGGCACCGUUCUAAGAUGGGUCCUCUCUUCGUAGGCUAAUGCAUUGGCCCUUUUUGACCCGUUUUGGGGCGAAAACAAAAACUGACUCCCGGGCAUAUUUUUUUCGGCCUUUAUGGGCAGAGAACUUUAAUACCGCUCAGAAUGAGGCCACCCAGUAGUUAGGUGUGAAUUUUCGAGACCUUUGGCACCGUUCUAAGAUGGGUCCUCUCUUCGUAGGCUAAUGCAUUGGCCCUUUUUGACCCGUUUUGGGGCGAAAACAAAAACUGACUCCCGGGCAUAUUUUUUUCGGCCUUUAUGGGCAGAGAACUUUAAUACGCCGCUCAGAAUGAGGCCACCCAGUAGUUAGGUGUGAAUUUUCGAGACCUUUGGCACCGUUCUAAGAUGGGUCCUCUCUUCGUAGGCUAAUGCAUUGGCCCUUUUUGACCCGUUUUGGGGCGAAAACAAAAACUGACUCCCGGGCAUAUUUUUUUCGGCCUUUAUGGGCAGAGAACUUUAAUACCGCUCAGAAUGAGGCCACCCAGUAGUUAGGUGUGAAUUUUCGAGACCUUUGGCACCGUUCUAAGAUGGGUCCUCUCUUCGUAGGCUAAUGCAUUGGCCCUUUUUGACCCGUUUUGGGGCGAAAACAAAAACUGACUCCCGGGCAUAUUUUUUUCGGCCUUUAUGGGCAGAGAACUUUAAUACCGCUCAGAAUGAGGCCACCCAGUAGUUAGGUGUGAAUUUUCGAGACCUUUGGCACCGUUCUAAGAUGGGUCCUCUCUUCGUAGGCUAAUGCAUUGGCCCUUUUUGACCCGUUUUGGGGCGAAAACAAAAACUGACUCCCGGGCAUAUUUUUUUCGGCCUUUAUGGGCAGAGAACUUUAAUACCGCUCAAAAUGAGGCCACCCAGUAGUUAGGUGUGAAUUUUCGAGACCUUCUGGCACCGUUCUAAGAUGGGUCCUCUCUUCGUAGGCUAAUGCAUUGGCCCUUUUUGACCCGUUUUGGGGCGAAAACAAAAACUGACUCCCGGGCAUAUUUUUUUCGGCCUUUAUGGGCAGAGAACUUUAAUACCGCUCAAAAUGAGGCCACCCAGUAGUUAGGUGUGAAUUUUCGAGACCUCUGGCACCGUUCUAAGAUGGGUCCUCUCUUCGUAGGCUAAUGCAUUGGCCCUUUUUGACCCGUUUUGGGGCGAAAACAAAAACUGACUCCCGGGCAUAUUUUUUUCGGCCUUUAUGGGCAGAGAACUUUAAUACCCGCUCAGAAUGAGGCCACCCAGUAGUUAGGUGUGAAUUUUCGAGACCUUCUGGCACCGUUCUAAGAUGGGUCCUCUCUUCGUAGGCUAAUGCAUUGGCCCUUUUUGACCCGUUUUGGGGCGAAAACAAAAACUGACUCCCGGGCAUAUUUUUUUCGGCCUUUAUGGGCAGAGAACUUUAAUACCGCUCAAAAUGAGGCCACCCAGUAGUUAGGUGUGAAUUUUCGAGACCUCUGGCACCGUUCUAAGAUGGGUCCUCUCUUCGUAGGCUAAUGCAUUGGCCCUUUUUGACCCGUUUUGGGGCGAAAACAAAAACUGACUCCCGGGCAUAUUUUUUUCGGCCUUUAUGGGCAGAGAACUUUAAUACCGCUCAAAAUGAGGCCACCCAGUAGUUAGGUGUGAAUUUUCGAGACCUUUGGCACCGUUCUAAGAUGGGUCCUCUCUUCGUAGGCUAAUGCAUUGGCCCUUUUUGACCCGUUUUGGGGCGAAAACAAAAACUGACUCCCGGGCAUAUUUUUUUCGGCCUUUAUGGGCAGAGAACUUUAAUGCCGCUCAGAAUGAGGCCACCCAGUAGUUAGGUGUGAAUUUUCGAGACCUUUGGCACCGUUCUAAGAUGGGUCCUCUCUUCGUAGGCUAAUGCAUUGGCCCUUUUUGACCCGUUUUGGGGCGAAAACAAAAACUGACUCCCGGGCAUAUUUUUUUCGGCCUUUAUGGGCAGAGAACUUUAAUGCCGCUCAAAAUGAGGCCACCCAGUAGUUAGGUGUGAAUUUUCGAGACCUUUGGCACCGUUCUAAGAUGGGUCCUCUCUUCGUAGGCUAAUGCAUUGGCCCUUUUUGACCCGUUUUGGGGCGAAAACAAAAACUGACUCCCGGGCAUAUUUUUUUCGGCCUUUAUGGGCAGAGAACUUUAAUACCGCUCAAAAUGAGGCCACCCAGUAGUUAGGUGUGAAUUUUCGAGACCUUUGGCACCGUUCUAAGAUGGGUCCUCUCUUCGUAGGCUAAUGCAUUGGCCCUUUUUGACCCGUUUUGGGGCGAAAACAAAAACUGACUCCCGGGCAUAUUUUUUUCGGCCUUUAUGGGCAGAGAACUUUAAUGCCGCUCAAAAUGAGGCCACCCAGUAGUUAGGUGUGAAUUUUCGAGACCUUUGGCACCGUUCUAAGAUGGGUCCUCUCUUCGUAGGCUAAUGCAUUGGCCCUUUUUGACCCGUUUUGGGGCGAAAACAAAAACUGACUCCCGGGCAUAUUUUUUUCGGCCUUUAUGGGCAGAGAACUUUAAUACCCGCUCAGAAUGAGGCCACCCAGUAGUUAGGUGUGAAUUUUCGAGACCUUUGGCACCGUUCUAAGAUGGGUCCUCUCUUCGUAGGCUAAUGCAUUGGCCCUUUUUGACCCGUUUUGGGGCGAAAACAAAAACUGACUCCCGGGCAUAUUUUUUUCGGCCUUUAUGGGCAGAGAACUUUAAUACCGCUCAGAAAUGAGGCCACCCAGUAGUUAGGUGUGAAUUUUCGAGACCUUUGGCACCGUUCUAAGAUGGGUCCUCUCUUCGUAGGCUAAUGCAUUGGCCCUUUUUGACCCGUUUUGGGGCGAAAACAAAAACUGACUCCCGGGCAUAUUUUUUUCGGCCUUUAUGGGCAGAGAACUUUAAUACCGCUCAGAAAUGAGGCCACCCAGUAGUUAGGUGGGAAUUUUCGAGACCUUUGGCACCGUUCUAAGAUGGGUCCUCUCUUCGUAGGCUAAUGCAUUGGCCCUUUUUGACCCGUUUUGGGGCGAAAACAAAAACUGACUCCCGGGCAUAUUUUUUUCGGCCUUUAUGGGCAGAGAACUUUAACACCGCUCAAAAUGAGGCCACCCAGUAGUUAGGUGUGAAUUUUCGAGACCUUUGGCACCGUUCUAAGAUGGGUCCUCUCUUCGUAGGCUAAUGCAUUGGCCCUUUUUGACCCGUUUUGGGGCGAAAACAAAAACUGACUCCCGGGCAUAUUUUUUUCGGCCUUUAUGGGCAGAGAACUUUAAUACCGCUCAAAAUGAGGCCACCCAGUAGUUAGGUGUGAAUUUUCGAGACCUUUGGCACCGUUCUAAGAUGGGUCCUCUCUUCGUAGGCUAAUGCAUUGGCCCUUUUUGACCCGUUUUGGGGCGAAAACAAAAACUGACUCCCGGGCAUAUUUUUUUCGGCCUUUAUGGGCAGAGAACUUUAACACCGCUCAAAAUGAGGCCACCCAGUAGUUAGGUGGGAAUUUUCGAGACCUUUGGCACCGUUCUAAGAUGGGUCCUCUCUUCGUAGGCUAAUGCAUUGGCCCUUUUUGACCCGUUUUGGGGCGAAAACAAAAACUGACUCCCGGGCAUAUUUUUUUUCGGCCUUUAUGGGCAGAGAACUUUAACACCGCUCAAAAUGAGGCCACCCAGUAGUUAGGUGGGAAUUUUCGAGACCUUUGGCACCGUUCUAAGAUGGGUCCUCUCUUCGUAGGCUAAUGCAUUGGCCCUUUUUGACCCGUUUUGGGGCGAAAACAAAAACUGACUCCCGGGCAUAUUUUUC
RNAcentral lists this long non-coding RNA (30187 nucleotides) under Cucumis sativus (cucumber). RNAcentral describes it as "long non-coding RNA (CSAT_LNC001527)". The record is from RNAcentral. Lineage: Eukaryota; Viridiplantae; Streptophyta; Magnoliopsida; Cucurbitales; Cucurbitaceae.